CAGGUGUGCCUGUGGAGAGCUUGUCUGUGUGAAGAGCCUGUCUGCAUGUACAACGAAUUUUUGACAGAAAUGGUAGAAAGUCUGCCAAGGGACUAUUUGUUCAGAGUGAACAAAAGUGAGGAAACGUUUGAAAGUGUUGCAAAAGCCCUUAGCAGGUUCUACAGGGAGAACUGUAAGAAGGACUUCAAAUGCAAAGAUUACACUGAAGACAAAAGAAAUUCAGCAGUAUGUUACUUACUGGAAUGUCUGGAUGGGGAGGAACCUGAGUGUGUCUCCAAUGUCAGAUACAGUCUAGCUGAGGUAGAGUUGGUCAGUUUGAAAGGCUUCAAGUGUCUGGUUAAAGAUGCAUUCAAUCACAAAUAUAAUUCAUUACAACAAGUCAGAGAACAAGAUAAAGAAUGUGAUGAUGUUUUUGUUGAUGCAGUGUGAUGCCAAAAAGCAACUACACUUGUCUUGUCCCAUCGCUGCAACUCCCGUACGGACUUGGUAGAGGCGAAGGUCGAGAGCCAUGCGUCCUCCAAAACACAACCCUGCCAAGCUGCUCACUUAACCCAGAAGCCAGCUGCACCAAUGUGUCUGAGGAAACACCGUACAACUGGCAACCGUGUCACAGGAGUCGCUAGAACGCGAUGGGAGAGGGACAUCCCGGCCGGCCAAACCGGACGACGCUGGGCCAAUUGUGCACUGCCUCAUUAGUCUCCCGGUCACAUCCGGCUGCGACACAGCCUGGGAUCGAACCAGGGUCUAUAGUGACGCCUGCUAGCGGCCUUAGACCGCUGCGCCACUGGGGAGGCCCCAUGAUUAUGGCUUUUUGAGGUCA
This 820-nucleotide long non-coding RNA is filed under the name Salmo salar (Atlantic salmon). RNAcentral describes it as "lncRNA (ENSSSAG00000092309.1)". The record is from RNAcentral. Lineage: Eukaryota; Metazoa; Chordata; Actinopteri; Salmoniformes; Salmonidae.